AGUUUGAAAUAAGAAAGCCUUCUGAUGGAACCAAAUCUGGGAUCUCUUAACACUGACCAAAGAUUGAGGCCUCCAUUGGAUAUAAUAGUCACUUAGUACUGUUAUGUUUUCCUGAUGGUGAUGCAAGU
Molecule: small nucleolar RNA, 128 nt
Organism: Bos indicus x Bos taurus (hybrid cattle)
Lineage: Eukaryota; Metazoa; Chordata; Mammalia; Artiodactyla; Bovidae
Source: Ensembl